CGUAGGAGGCAAGCGUUAUCCGGAUUCACUGGGCGUAAAGCGCGUGCAGGCGGUGCGGUAAGUUGGGUGUGAAAUCUCCCGGCUCAACUGGGAGAGGUCAUUCAAUACUACCGUACUCGAGAGCAGAAGAGGAAGAUGGAAUUCCCGGUGUAGUGGUGAAAUGCGUAGAUAUCGGGAGGAACGCCAGUGGCGAAGGCGAUCUUCUGGUCUGUUUCUGACGCUCAGACGCGACAGCUAGGGUAGUAAACGGGAUUAGAGACCCCGGUAAUCCUAGCCGUAAACGAUGUGAACUUGGCGUUGGUGGGUUAAACUCCAUCAGUGCCGUAGCAAACGCGAUAAGUUCACCGCCUGGGACUACGGCCGCAAGGUUA
This 371-nucleotide ribosomal RNA is filed under the name uncultured organism. RNAcentral describes it as "bacterial SSU rRNA". It matches the Rfam family "Bacterial small subunit ribosomal RNA", at positions 526 to 896 of the family's 1533-position model. The record is from RNAcentral.